GACGAACGCUGGCGGCGUGCUUAACACAUGCAAGUCGAACGCUGAAGCUUGGUGCUUGCACUGGGUGGAUGAGUGGCGCACGGGUGAGUAAUACGUGAGUAACCUGCCCUUGACUCUGGGAUAAGCCUGGGAAACUGGGUCUAAUACUGGAUACGACAUGUCACCGCAUGGUGGUGUGUGGAAAGGGUUUUACUGGUUUUGGAUGGGCUCACGGCCUAUCAGCUUGUUGGGGGGGUAAUGGCUCACCAAGGCGACGACGGGUAGCCGGCCUGGGAGGGUGACCGGCCACACUGGGACUGAGACACGGCCCAGACUCCUACGGGAGGCAGCAGUGGGGAAUAAUGCACAAUGGGCGGAAGCCUGAUGCAGCGACGCCGCGUGAGGGAUGACGGCCUUAGGGUUGUAAACCUCUUUCAGCACGGAAGAAGCGAAAGUGACGGUACGUGCAGAAGAAGCUCCGGCUAACUACGUG
This 472-nucleotide ribosomal RNA is filed under the name uncultured bacterium. RNAcentral describes it as "partial 16S ribosomal RNA". It matches the Rfam family "Bacterial small subunit ribosomal RNA", at positions 28 to 507 of the family's 1533-position model. The record is from RNAcentral.